Molecule: ribosomal RNA, 467 nt
Filed under: Scopimera inflata
Lineage: Eukaryota; Metazoa; Arthropoda; Malacostraca; Decapoda; Dotillidae
Description: partial 16S ribosomal RNA
Rfam family: Archaeal large subunit ribosomal RNA
Source: RNAcentral
GACCUGCCCACUGAUGUGAAGUUUAAAGGGCCGCGGUAUACUGACCGUGCAAAGGUAGCAUAAUCGUUAGGUCUUUAAUUGAGAUCUUGUAUGAAUGGUUCGACAAGGAAAGGUCUGUCUUUGUACUGUUGACUGAAUUUGACUUCUAAGUGAAAAGGCUUAGAUAAUUUAAGGGGACGAUAAGACCCUGUAAAACUUUAUAUGGGGGGCUAUAAUUUUGACUGAAUUUUUAAGGUAUAAGUUAAGUGCAGCGUCAUAUUAUGUUGGGGCGACAGAAAUAAAAUUAGUAGUAACUGUUUAGUAGUUUAGGACAAAAAUGUAUGAUUAAAUUAAUAGAGGAUCCCGGCUAGGGAUUAAGAGUUUAAGUUACUUUAGGGAUAACAGCGUUAUUUUUUUUGAGAGUACUUAUCGAAAAAAGAGUUUGCGACCUCGAUGUUGAAUUAAAAUUUCUACACAAUUGUAGUAGC